UAGCUGACGAUGGAAUCUUUCUA
RNAcentral lists this microRNA (23 nucleotides) under Bombyx mori (domestic silkworm). RNAcentral's name for it is "bmo-miR-3244". The record is from miRBase by way of RNAcentral. Lineage: Eukaryota; Metazoa; Arthropoda; Insecta; Lepidoptera; Bombycidae.